GUGAAGAACGUAGCGAAAUGCGAUAAGUAAUGUGAAUUGCAGAAUUCAGUGAAUCAUCGAAUCUUUGAACGCACCUUGCACCCUUUGGCAUUCCGAAGGGUAUGCUCGUUUGAGUGUCAUUGUACUCUCACACUCCCAAUUGCUUUGGAUUGGGAGCGGUGGACUUGGGUGUUGCUGCUUGACUGAGGCUCACCUGAAAUAUGUUAGUGCACCUCUUGAUUGGACAUAGUACGGCGUGAUAAGUGUCUUCGCCGGCUCCUCGCAAAGAGGGUGGCCGAUCGGGAGCUCUGUUGCUUCAAACUGUCUUCGGACAAUCUUCUGGCGACUUGACCUCAAAUCGAGUAGGACUACCCGCUGAACUUAAGCAUAUCAAUAAGCGGAGGA
RNAcentral lists this unclassified non-coding RNA (384 nucleotides) under soil metagenome. RNAcentral's name for it is "partial contains 5.8S ribosomal RNA, internal transcribed spacer 2, and large subunit ribosomal RNA". The stretch from base 2 to 119 matches the Rfam family "5.8S ribosomal RNA", at positions 37 to 154 of the family's 154-position model. The record is from RNAcentral.